AUUAAGCAUAUCAAUAAGCGGAGGAAAAGAAACCAACAGGGAUUGCCUUAGUAACUGCGAGUGAAGCGGCAAGAGCUCAAAUUUGAAAUCUGGCACCUUCGGUGUCCGAGUUGUAAUUUGUAGAAGCAUCUUUUGGAUUGGUCCUUGCAUAUGUUCCUUGGAACAGGACAUCAUAGAGGGUGAGAAUCCCGUUCAUGGUGGGGAAUCCAAUUCUUUGUAAAGUGCUUUCGAAGAGUCGAGUUGUUUGGGAAUGCAGCUCUAAGUGGGUGGUAAAUUCCAUCUAAAGCUAAAUAUUGGCGAGAGACCGAUAGCGAACAAGUACAGUGAUGGAAAGAUGAAAAGAACUCCGAAAGGAGAGUGAAAAAGGACGUGAAAUUGUUGAAAGGGAAGUGCUUGAGAUCAGUCUUAAGGUUUAGUGAUCAGUCUUCCUUUUGGUUGGUGCACUCACUAUUUCUUAGGCCAACAUCAGUUUUGGCGGCAGGAUAAUGACAUUGGAAUGUGGCUCUUUCGAGAGUGUUAUAGCCUUUGUUGAUACUGCCUGCUUGGACUGAGGACCGCGCUUUUGCUAGGAUGUUGGCAUAAUGAUCUUAAGCAGCCC
This 598-nucleotide ribosomal RNA is filed under the name Lipomyces starkeyi. RNAcentral describes it as "LSU rRNA". It matches the Rfam family "Eukaryotic large subunit ribosomal RNA", at positions 33 to 650 of the family's 3401-position model. The record is from RNAcentral. Lineage: Eukaryota; Fungi; Ascomycota; Lipomycetes; Lipomycetales; Lipomycetaceae.